RNAcentral lists this ribosomal RNA (468 nucleotides) under uncultured bacterium. RNAcentral's name for it is "partial 16S ribosomal RNA". It matches the Rfam family "Bacterial small subunit ribosomal RNA", at positions 28 to 507 of the family's 1533-position model. The record is from RNAcentral.
GACGAACGCUGGCGGCGUGCUUAACACAUGCAAGUCGAACGGAAAGGCCCUGCUUUUGUGGGGUGCUCGAGUGGCGAACGGGUGAGUAACACGUGAGUAACCUGCCCUUGACUUUGGGAUAACUUCAGGAAACUGGGGUUAAUACCGGAUAGGAGCUCCUGCUGCAUGGUGGGGGUUGGAAAGUUUCGGCGGUUGGGGAUGGACUCGCGGCUUAUCAGCUUGUUGGUGGGGUAGUGGCUUACCAAGGCUUUGACGGGUAGCCGGCCUGGGAGGGGGACCGGCCACAUUGGGACUGAGAUACGGCCCAGACUCCUACGGGAGGCAGCAGUGGGGAAUAUUGCACAAUGGGCGGAAGCCGGAUGCAGCAACGCCGCGUGCGGGAUAACGGCCUUCGGGUUGUAAACCGCUUUCGCCUGUGACGAAGCGUGAGUGACGGUAAUGGGAAAAGAAGCACCGGCUAACUACGUG